GACGAACUGUGCAAACGUUAUUCGGAAUCACUGGGCUUAAAGGGUGCGUAGGCGGUCUUUUAAGUAGGGUGUGAAAGCCUCUGGCUCAACCAGAGAACUGCGCCCUAAACUAGAAGGCUUGAGUGAGGUAGGGGUGUGUGGAACUUCCAGUGGAGCGGUGGAAUGUGUUGAUAUUGGAAGGAACGCCGGUGGCGAAAGCGACACACUGGACCUUGUCUGACGCUGAGGCACGAAAGCCAGGGGAGCAAACGGG
This 253-nucleotide ribosomal RNA is filed under the name uncultured bacterium. RNAcentral describes it as "partial 16S ribosomal RNA". It matches the Rfam family "Bacterial small subunit ribosomal RNA", at positions 524 to 776 of the family's 1533-position model. The record is from RNAcentral.